This 517-nucleotide ribosomal RNA is filed under the name uncultured bacterium. Its description in RNAcentral is "bacterial SSU rRNA". It matches the Rfam family "Bacterial small subunit ribosomal RNA", at positions 501 to 1016 of the family's 1533-position model. The record is from RNAcentral.
CUACGUGCCAGCAGCCGCGGUAAUACGUAGGUCCCGAGCGUUGUCCGGAUUUAUUGGGCGUAAAGCGAGCGCAGGCGGUUAGAUAAGUCUGAAGUUAAAGGCUGUGGCUUAACCAUAGUACGCUUUGGAAACUGUUUAACUUGAGUGCAGAAGGGGAGAGUGGAAUUCCAUGUGUAGCGGUGAAAUGCGUAGAUAUAUGGAGGAACACCGGUGGCGAAAGCGGCUCUCUGGUCUGUAACUGACGCUGAGGCUCGAAAGCGUGGGGAGCGAACAGGAUUAGAUACCCUGGUAGUCCACGCCGUAAACGAUGAGUGCUAGGUGUUAGGCCCUUUCCGGGGCUUAGUGCCGCAGCUAACGCAUUAAGCACUCCGCCUGGGGAGUACGACCGCAAGGUUGAAACUCAAAGGAAUUGACGGGGGCCCGCACAAGCGGUGGAGCAUGUGGUUUAAUUCGAAGCAACGCGAAGAACCUUACCAGGUCUUGACAUCCCGAUGCCCGCUCUAGAGAUAGAGUUUUC